Molecule: ribosomal RNA, 253 nt
Filed under: uncultured bacterium
Lineage: Bacteria
Description: partial 16S ribosomal RNA
Rfam family: Bacterial small subunit ribosomal RNA
Source: RNAcentral
UACAGAGACGUCGAGCGUUGUUCGGAUUCAUUGGGCGUAAAGGGUGCGUAGGCGGUCGGGUAAGUCGGUUGUGAAAUCCCAAAGCUCAACUUUGGAAGUGCGACCGAAACUACUCGGCUUGAGGACUGGAGGGGGGACUGGAAUUCUCGGUGUAGCGGUGAAAUGCGUGGAUAUCGAGAGGAACACCUGUGGCGAAGGCGGGUCCCUAGACAGUUCCUGACGCUGAGGCACGAAAGCUAGGGUAGCAAACGGG